RNAcentral lists this ribosomal RNA (199 nucleotides) under uncultured bacterium. RNAcentral's name for it is "partial 16S ribosomal RNA". It matches the Rfam family "Bacterial small subunit ribosomal RNA", at positions 1302 to 1500 of the family's 1533-position model. The record is from RNAcentral.
AGCCUGCAACCCGGCUGCACGAGGCCGGAAUCGCUAGUAACCGCAGAUCAGAAUGCUGCGGUGAAUACGUUCCCGGGUCUUGUACACACCGCCCGUCACACCACGGGAGUCGGAAAUGCCCGAAGUCAGCGGCCCAACUGCAAGGAGGGAGCUGCCGAAGGCAGGUCCGGUGACUGGGGUGAAGUCGUAACAAGGUAAC